GUUUUCGUAGUGUAGCGGUUAUCACGUGCGCCUCACACGCGCAAGGUCCCCGGUUCGACCCCGGGCGAAAACU
Molecule: transfer RNA, 73 nt
Filed under: Strigamia maritima
Lineage: Eukaryota; Metazoa; Arthropoda; Chilopoda; Geophilomorpha; Linotaeniidae
Description: tRNA-Val for anticodon CAC
Source: RNAcentral